RNAcentral lists this ribosomal RNA (283 nucleotides) under Staphylococcus aureus. Its description in RNAcentral is "partial 23S ribosomal RNA". It matches the Rfam family "Bacterial large subunit ribosomal RNA", at positions 2642 to 2925 of the family's 2925-position model. Lineage: Bacteria; Bacillati; Bacillota; Bacilli; Caryophanales; Staphylococcaceae. The record is from RNAcentral.
CCGUCGUGGGCGUAGGAAAUUUGAGAGGAGCUGUCCUUAGUACGAGAGGACCGGGAUGGACAUACCUCUGGUGUACCAGUUGUCGUGCCAACGGCAUAGCUGGGUAGCUAUGUGUGGACGGGAUAAGUGCUGAAAGCAUCUAAGCAUGAAGCCCCCCUCAAGAUGAGAUUUCCCAACUUCGGUUAUAAGAUCCCUCAAAGAUGAUGAGGUUAAUAGGUUCGAGGUGGAAGCAUGGUGACAUGUGGAGCUGACGAAUACUAAUCGAUCGAAGACUUAAUCAAAA